This 493-nucleotide long non-coding RNA is filed under the name Mus pahari (shrew mouse). RNAcentral describes it as "lncRNA (MGP_PahariEiJ_G0004166.1)". The record is from RNAcentral. Lineage: Eukaryota; Metazoa; Chordata; Mammalia; Rodentia; Muridae.
AGUUGACUAUAGGUAACUAAGGGGGCUGGAGAGCUGGCUCAGCGGUUAAGAGCACUGACUAUAGCACCGCUCCUGCCUCAGGACCUUUGCAUGAUCCUUUCACCAGCCUCACUUCAGACAUCUCCACAACUGACUUCCUCUGCUCCUUAGGGACAUGUCGUCUCGCUGCUACCUUCCGUGUCUCCGGGGUCUUCCAAGCAGGGCCUCUGUAAGCCCACGCUGCGUGUUGGGAAGGUCAGACUGACUUCCCUCUUCACAGAGGACGCUGGGGCCCUGCCGGCCAAUCCAAUCGUUUGUCCAGCAGACGAGGGAUUCAAGCUCCUGCUGACUCCAAAGUGUGGAGGUGCUGGGAAUAGAGGCGCAAAGAUAUCUGAAUACACAAGCCCCUGAACAAAACCCCUUCCCAAGAGGACCCUGAGGCUUAUAUUACAGAACCUUAUAUUACAGAAGCUCAAGGGUGAGCUUGAAGUUUGGUCUACACCAGGGCAGUUAU